GAUAAACACUUAAUUUAAGUCAUUUAAAGCAGAAAAUCAUAUUUAAUUUAUUUUAUUUAUUAAGAAUUUGAUGCUUCUUUUUAUGUUUUACAGGAAAGAUGAUCGCCGAUACAAAGAGUCCGAUUCAUAGAUAAAAAAGACUCAAGUUUGAAAAAAUUUGGACUUAAAAUAAAAUUAAAAUAAAAGAAAGACGCAUCCAGUAUUAUAGAAAAUGAAGAUACUAUGUAAGGAAUCCAAAAAGAUAUAAAUGUCAUUGUAAAGAAACAAAAGUUUCUUUUUGGUAUGUGAAAAGAUUGGUUCACGUUAAAUUUUCCUGGGCGCGCGUGAAUGUGGGCAGCAUGAGCUCG
This 347-nucleotide long non-coding RNA is filed under the name Elaeis guineensis (African oil palm). RNAcentral's name for it is "long non-coding RNA (EGUI_LNC022153)". Lineage: Eukaryota; Viridiplantae; Streptophyta; Magnoliopsida; Arecales; Arecaceae. The record is from RNAcentral.